This 253-nucleotide ribosomal RNA is filed under the name uncultured bacterium. Its description in RNAcentral is "partial 16S ribosomal RNA". It matches the Rfam family "Bacterial small subunit ribosomal RNA", at positions 524 to 776 of the family's 1533-position model. The record is from RNAcentral.
UACGUAGGGUGCGAGCGUUGUCCGGAAUUAUUGGGCGUAAAGAGCUCGUAGGCGGCCUGUCGCGUCGGAUGUGAAAGCCCGGGGCUUAACCCCGGGUCUGCAUUCGAUACGGGCAGGCUAGAGUGUGGUAGGGGAGAUCGGAAUUCCUGGUGUAGCGGUGAAAUGCGCAGAUAUCAGGAGGAACACCGGUGGCGAAGGCGGAUCUCUGGGCCAUUACGGACGCUGAGGAGCGAAAGCGUGGGGAGCGAACAGG